Molecule: ribosomal RNA, 254 nt
Filed under: uncultured bacterium
Lineage: Bacteria
Description: partial 16S ribosomal RNA
Rfam family: Bacterial small subunit ribosomal RNA
Source: RNAcentral
UACGAAGGGGGCUAGCGUUGUUCGGAUUUACUGGCGUAAAGCGCACGUAGGCGGAUUGGUCAGUUAGGGGUGAAAUCCUGGAGCUCAACUCCAGAACUGCCUUUAAUACUGCCAGUCUCGAGUCCGGAAGAGGUAAGUGGAACUCCUAGUGUAGAGGUGGAAUUCGUAGAUAUUAGGGAAGAACACCAGUGGGCGAAGGCGGCUUACUGGUCCGGAUCUGACGCUGAGGCGCGAAAGCGUGGGGAGCAAACAGG